Molecule: ribosomal RNA, 253 nt
Filed under: uncultured bacterium
Lineage: Bacteria
Description: partial 16S ribosomal RNA
Rfam family: Bacterial small subunit ribosomal RNA
Source: RNAcentral
UACGAAGGGGGCUAGCGUUGCUCGGAAUCACUGGGCGUAAAGCGCACGUAGGCGGCUUUCUAAGUCAGGGGUGAAAUCCUGGAGCUCAACUCCAGAACUGCCUUUGAUACUGGGGAGCUCGAGUCCGGAAGAGGUGAGUGGAACUCCGAGUGUAGAGGUGAAAUUCGUAGAUAUUCGGAAGAACACCAGUGGCGAAGGCGGCUCACUGGCUCGAUACUGACGCUGAGGUGCGAAAGCGUGGGGAGCAAACAGG